This 739-nucleotide ribosomal RNA is filed under the name Staphylococcus sp. Z32. RNAcentral describes it as "bacterial SSU rRNA". It matches the Rfam family "Bacterial small subunit ribosomal RNA", at positions 68 to 789 of the family's 1533-position model. Lineage: Bacteria; Bacillati; Bacillota; Bacilli; Caryophanales; Staphylococcaceae. The record is from RNAcentral.
GAACAGACGAGGAGCUUGCUCCUCUGACGUUAGCGGCGGACGGGUGAGUAACACGUGGAUAACCUACCUAUAAGACUGGGAUAACUUCGGGAAACCGGAGCUAAUACCGGAUAAUAUAUUGAACCGCAUGGUUCAAUAGUGAAAGACGGUUUUGCUGUCACUUAUAGAUGGAUCCGCGCCGCAUUAGCUAGUUGGUAAGGUAACGGCUUACCAAGGCAACGAUGCGUAGCCGACCUGAGAGGGUGAUCGGCCACACUGGAACUGAGACACGGUCCAGACUCCUACGGGAGGCAGCAGUAGGGAAUCUUCCGCAAUGGGCGAAAGCCUGACGGAGCAACGCCGCGUGAGUGAUGAAGGUCUUCGGAUCGUAAAACUCUGUUAUUAGGGAAGAACAAAUGUGUAAGUAACUAUGCACGUCUUGACGGUACCUAAUCAGAAAGCCACGGCUAACUACGUGCCAGCAGCCGCGGUAAUACGUAGGUGGCAAGCGUUAUCCGGAAUUAUUGGGCGUAAAGCGCGCGUAGGCGGUUUUUUAAGUCUGAUGUGAAAGCCCACGGCUCAACCGUGGAGGGUCAUUGGAAACUGGAAAACUUGAGUGCAGAAGAGGAAAGUGGAAUUCCAUGUGUAGCGGUGAAAUGCGCAGAGAUAUGGAGGAACACCAGUGGCGAAGGCGACUUUCUGGUCUGUAACUGACGCUGAUGUGCGAAAGCGUGGGGAUCAAACAGGAUUAGAUACCCUG